This 925-nucleotide long non-coding RNA is filed under the name Olea europaea subsp. europaea. Lineage: Eukaryota; Viridiplantae; Streptophyta; Magnoliopsida; Lamiales; Oleaceae. The record is from RNAcentral.
GUUGUUGGUGAUGGUCACACUAUACACAUUCUAAAUGAUAACUGGAUCCCGGGGGUGAAAAAUCUAAGCAGAGACUUGGGAAAUGAUUUACAACAUCACAAUCAAGAACUUGAAAGUCCAGUGGCUUUAUUAAUUGAUCUGAACUUGAAGUGGUGGAACCUGACUAAGCUUAGGGCUCUAUUCAAUCCAAAAAUUGUGGAGGCAAUACUAAAACUACACCAAGCCCUUCGGGAGAAAAAGAUUUUUGGUUAUGGGAACAUGAAAAAAUUGGACUUUAUUCUGUUAGCAGUGCAUAUAGAUUCUUCAAGGAUUGUCUAACUUUGGACCGUGGCAACUCUUCAAACGCAACUGAGAAAAAGAAAUUUCGGGAUACUAUAUGGCGUCUAAAGAUACACCAAAAAGUAAAAAAAUUUACUUGGAGAGCUUGUAAAGAAAGCUUGCCCUCGAAACAAAAUCUGAUUUGAAGAUGAAUCCCUAUUGCCACUCAAUGUUGUUUUUGCGACUACCAGGUAGAAGACCUAUGCCAUGUUUUACUCAAUUGCCCUUCUACUUGCCAUCUCCUAACCAGACGGUUCCCAGCACUACAGAAUAAGGAUCAUCUGGGAGAUUUCAUGCAAGUAGCUAUGGAUAUAAUGGCAAAAGACUCAAAGGAUGCUUUCUUGAAAUUUAUACUCAUCACUUGGGGUUUUUGGUUCCGCCGAAACAAAAUGGUCCAUGUCCAGCUAAACCUUCCACCAUAACAAGUAAUUGCUACCGCCUUAGCCAAAAAAUCCAAUGCUAAAUUAGGUCCACCCCUCAACAGUACACCUAGAUCGCUUUCCCACAAAUAUAGGUGGUCCGCACCACCCAAAAAAGCAUUGAAACUCAAUAUUGAUGGUGCACUAUUCUUUGACUCAAAUAAGUCUGGGAUCAGAAUUAUUUUAUG